UAAAGGCGGGGAUCUUCGGACCUGCCGCUCAGAGAGGAGCCCGCGUCCGAUUAGCUAGUUGGUGAGGUAACGGCUCACCAAGGCGACGAUCGGUAGUCGGCCUGAGAGGGUGACCGGCCACACUGGGACUGAGACACUGCCCAGACUCCUACGGGAGGCUGCAGUCGAGGACCAUUUGCAAUGCGCGAAAGCGUGACAAUGCGACGCUGCGUGGAGGACGAAGGCCUUCGGGUUGUACACUCCUGUCAUGCGGGAACAAUACCCCGCCGUUAAUAGCGGCGGGAUUGAUGGUACCGCAAGAGGAAGCGACGGCUAACUUCGUGCCAGCAGCCGCGGUAAUACGAAGGUCGCUAGCGUUGUUCGGAUUUACUGGGCGUAAAAGGGUGCGCAGGUGGUGCCGUGUGUCGGACGUGAAAUCCCGGGGCUCAACCCCCGGAACUGCAUCCGAAAACUGCGGCACUCGAGUACAGGAUGGGAGAGCGGAAUUCAAGGUGUAGCGGUGAAAUGCGUUGAUAUCUUGAAGAACACCGGUGGCGAAGGCGGCUCUCUGGAAUGUUACUGACACUGAGGCACGAAAGCGUAGGGAGCAAACAGGAUUAGAUACCCUGGUAGUCUACGCCGUAAACGUUGCGUACUUGGCGUGGGAGGAAUUAACCCCUUCCGUGCCGGAGCUAACGCGUUAAGUACGCCGCCUGGGGAGUACGGCCGCAAGGUUAAAACUCAAAGAAAUUGACGGGGGCCCGCACGAGCGGAGGAGCAUGUGGCUUAAUUCGAUGCAACGCGAAGAACCUUACCAGGGCUUGACAUGGUACUGCACGCCCCGUGAAAGCGGGGAAGCCUUCGAGGGUGUACCACAGGUGCUGCAUGGCUGUCGUCAGUUCGUGCCGUGAGGUGUUUGGUUAAGUCCAGCAACGAACGCAACCCCUAUGUUUAGUUGCCACCGGUGGUGAUGAGCCACCGAGCACUCUAGACAGACUGCCCGUACAAGCGGGAGGAAGGUGGGGAUGACGUCAAGUCAGUAUGGCCCUUACGUCCUGGGCUGCACACGUGCUACAAUGGUCGAUACAGUGGGCUGCAAUACCGCAAGGUGGAGCAAAUCCUCAAAGUCGGCCUCAGUUCGGAUUGGAGUCUGAAAUUCGACUCCAUGAAGUCGGAUUCGCUAGUAAUGCCGUAUCAGCUACGACGGCGUGAAUACGUUCCCGGGCCUUGUACACAC
This 1216-nucleotide ribosomal RNA is filed under the name uncultured organism. RNAcentral describes it as "bacterial SSU rRNA". It matches the Rfam family "Bacterial small subunit ribosomal RNA", at positions 202 to 1390 of the family's 1533-position model. The record is from RNAcentral.